Juglans microcarpa x Juglans regia is the source of this 268-nucleotide long non-coding RNA. RefSeq lists it as uncharacterized. The transcript has 2 exons. NCBI's taxonomy places the organism in Eukaryota, Viridiplantae, Streptophyta, Magnoliopsida, Fagales, Juglandaceae. The record is from RefSeq and is a predicted model, not a curated record.
AAUGAAUUAUUAUUAUUUCUUGCGAGGUGGUGAAACAGGCUGAUGGGCUUCUAGUCGAAUUUGUGCUUUCUUUUUGCUAUGAUUACGUUGAGCUAUCAUGUGAUUUCGUAUUGAAACAUCUUUCAAUAAUCCAAAAACAGAUGGAGAAGGGAAAUGUGAAUUUUUUGUAUAAGUGGAUGUAUUUCAUUUGAUAGAGGAUAACAUUCAUAGAAGAGAUAAUGUAGUUUGGAAGACGUAGGAUUGCGUAUUGCUACGCGAGUAUGAAGUU